RNAcentral lists this long non-coding RNA (634 nucleotides) under Chinchilla lanigera (long-tailed chinchilla). RNAcentral describes it as "lncRNA (ENSCLAG00000027002.1)". The record is from RNAcentral. Lineage: Eukaryota; Metazoa; Chordata; Mammalia; Rodentia; Chinchillidae.
GCCGUUAACAAAGUUUGUUUGUGCGUCUUGUGCCAAGAUGAUCUGGCCGGAAAUGAGGGGAGGGGGCUGGGAGACACCAAGGCUCCCUUCCCAGGAUUCAGGAAACCCAGCCGCAUCUUCUUAGUCCAACCUGUUCCAGGAGGAAGAGCAGGGCAAGGAGAGGGAAGUCGGGGCACAGCCUUGCACCUUCUCAGCCCAUGUUCAGGCUCAUCACACCCACAGUGCAGCGGAAAAGAACCCUCUGUGUCUGUAUCAUCCCCUUCAGGAAAAGGUGUCUCAGCCAAGUCUCUGUUAUUCUGAAAUUUCUAGGAAUCAAACUCAGGACCUUGUGCUUAUUAGGCAGGCACUCGUGCCACUGAGCUAUAUCCCCAGCCCUGUGAAACUUUCCAGAGAAAGACCUAGCUGCCCCCUCUGCCACUGUGGUGCCCACGGAUUUCUCUGCCACUCAUUGUCCUUGCAAGGACAUCCCCACAUGAAUGGAGGAUCCAAGUGGAAGAGCCCCGUGAAAAGCCUAAUAAGCAUGCACAACUGGAAUAAAAUUGAAUUGUUUGAAAAACAAACAGCUUUGCAAGUAGAACCCAAAUCAGCACAGAAAGAAACAGGGAUGGUUUUUGAAAUAUUUUUCUCCUCAUGA